UGAGGGUCCCUGCCAUGGAGAGCGAGACCCAUUUUCCCUGGGAGCAUGAAUCCGGAAGAGCUGAACCUGGGGUCCAUUGACCUUCGGAGGAUGUAUGUGUCUAUGGAUAUAAUUCAGAGAACCCUGCUCUCCUGCAGGCAGUGCAUUCUGAAUGGGGGCUCCCUUCAUCUGGACGGCCUGUCUGCAUACAGAUAAUCAGGCACUUUGAAGAUGCUCUGGGCCCAGCAGCCCUGCAAGUAGCUUGUCACACACAGGGAAAACCAAUCGAAGGCCGAGAAGGCUGUGCUCCUGAAAUACCCUAGGAGAGAGCGGGCCGAAAAGGUGAAACUUUAGACUACCAAACAGACGGAAACACUGAGAGCAGAGUGGAACUUCUGUGGUUCCCAUGAUGCUGAUGCAGCAGUGAGGCCUUGGCUGCCCUCUCUGGAUUGAGAACCUGUUGAUCUGGUCUGUUUGUGUUGAUCAGCCAAUCACCUUGCUUGCUGCUUGUCUACCUGGUGGCAAUCAAAGGUUAACCCCUGAGGCCCAGGUAAAUGUCCCCCUGUGACAGAACUGGCCUCCAAGAAAGCAAAUGCUGGGAUGCAUUCUUUGGGAUCCAAGCCCCACCCUCCCUGUCCCAGCCUCUGGACCCACUUAGACAAGUGUUGACUCAUUCAUGCGUUACC
Molecule: long non-coding RNA, 665 nt
Organism: Apodemus sylvaticus (European woodmouse)
Lineage: Eukaryota; Metazoa; Chordata; Mammalia; Rodentia; Muridae
Exons: 4
Source: RefSeq, a predicted model, not a curated record